GAUCCGCUCGGCUGCUGGACCGGGAGCCCGGUCACGGACCUUGACCCGCUGGAGCUCGACCGGUCCGAUCCCGGUCUGGAUCAC
RNAcentral lists this transfer RNA (84 nucleotides) under Skermanella aerolata. RNAcentral's name for it is "tRNA-Val". Lineage: Bacteria; Pseudomonadati; Pseudomonadota; Alphaproteobacteria; Rhodospirillales; Azospirillaceae. The record is from RNAcentral.